GACGAACGCUGGCGGCGUGCUUAACACAUGCAAGUCGAACGGAAAGGCCCUGCUUUUGUGGGGUGCUCGAGUGGCGAACGGGUGAGUAACACGUGAGUAACCUGCCCUUGACUUUGGGAUAACUUCAGGAAACUGGGGCUAAUACCGGAUAGGAGCUCCUGCUGCAUGGUGGGGGUUGGAAAGUUUCGGAGGUUGGGGAUGGACUCGCGGCUUAUCAGCUUGUUGGUGGGGUAGUGGCUUACCAAGGCUUUGACGGGUAGCCGGCAUGGGAGGGUAGACGGCCACAUUGGGACUGAGAGACGGCCCAGACGCCUACGGGAGGCAGCAGUGGGGAAUAUUGCACAGUGGGCGGAAGCCUGAUGCAGCAACGCCGCGUGCGGGAUGACGGCCUUCGGGUUGUAAACCGCUUUCGCCUGUGACGAAGCGUGAGUGACGGUAAUGGGUAAAGAAGCACCGGCUAACUACGUG
RNAcentral lists this ribosomal RNA (468 nucleotides) under uncultured bacterium. RNAcentral describes it as "partial 16S ribosomal RNA". It matches the Rfam family "Bacterial small subunit ribosomal RNA", at positions 28 to 507 of the family's 1533-position model. The record is from RNAcentral.